This 271-nucleotide ribosomal RNA is filed under the name uncultured archaeon. RNAcentral describes it as "partial 16S ribosomal RNA". It matches the Rfam family "Archaeal small subunit ribosomal RNA", at positions 477 to 747 of the family's 1478-position model. The record is from RNAcentral.
CAGCGCCACGAGUGGCAACCGUAAUUAUUGGGCCUAAAGCGUCCGUAGCCGGUUUGGUAAGUCUUUUGUGAAAUCGUUGCGCUCCACGUAACGUUGUGCAAGAGAUACUGCCAGACUUGGAACUGGGAAGGGUCAGAAGUAUUCUGGGGGGAGCGGCAAAAUGUGAUAAUCCUCAGAGGACUACCUGUGGCGAAAGCGUCUGACUAGAACAGCUUCGACGGUGAGGGACGAAAGCUAGGGGAGCGAACCGGAUUAGAUACCCGAGUAGUCC